UACGGGGGGGGCAAGCGUUGUUCGGAAUUACUGGGCGUAAAGGGUCUGUAGGUGGCUUGCUAAGUCAGACGUGAAAUCCCUCGGCUUAACCGGGGAACUGCGUCUGAUACUGGCGAGCUUGAGUGCAGGAGAGGAACGCGGAAUUCCAGGUGUAGCGGUGAAAUGCGUAGAUAUCAGGAGGAACACCAACGGCGAAGGCAGCUCGCUGGGACGGUACUGACGCUAAGGCGCGAAAGCGUGGGGAGCGAACAGG
This 253-nucleotide ribosomal RNA is filed under the name uncultured bacterium. Its description in RNAcentral is "partial 16S ribosomal RNA". It matches the Rfam family "Bacterial small subunit ribosomal RNA", at positions 524 to 776 of the family's 1533-position model. The record is from RNAcentral.